Oreochromis aureus is the source of this 3121-nucleotide RNA transcript. It is a transcript of the gene named glutathione hydrolase-like YwrD proenzyme, with no coding region annotated. The record is from RefSeq and is a predicted model, not a curated record. The transcript is spliced from 9 exons. Lineage: Eukaryota; Metazoa; Chordata; Actinopteri; Cichliformes; Cichlidae.
GGUAGUUUCUGCCUGAGUCGCUGAUAUUUGAAACCAGAAUGGGAACCGACCUGACUUUCUCCUCUCGUCGGUCCCCUGUUGUGUGUUUACACGGCUGUGUGGCCUCCAGCCAACCUUUAGCUUCCAGUAUAGGACUGGAUGUCCUGAAGCGUGGUGGCAAUGCGGCAGAUGCUGCAGUUGCCAUAGCAGCAGCCCUGCAGUAACAGAGCCGUGCAGCACCAGCCCCGGUGGAGACGCCUUCUGCUUGUUCUACAAUGGAAAGACCGGAGAGAUCAGAGGAAUUAACAGCAGGUGGAGAAUCCUUUGGUCCUUUCCUUGUUUUUCCCUACGUGUGCAACAAUAAACCGAACCUAUCUCUGUGUGCUCAGUGGUCAUUUUCCACGAGCACUGACCCUGGACUUCCUGGAAGGACAAGGUUACACUGCAGAGAACCCUCCUUCAGUGUUUGAUGCUCUGAAUGUCACAGUCCCUGGGGCCCUAGCAUGUUGGUGUGAUACUGUGCAGCUGCUAGGAAGUCACAAGGUUUACUUAUGUUUGUCUUCUAUAUCUGUGACAUGGGAGUGUUUUAUAGAACACUCUGGCAGCCCGUCUCAGAUAAAUCAUUUGACUGAUGUAAAUACCUAUAAACCCUGCAGAAGUGACCAGCAUGCACAAACAUGCCUGGAAAUAGGACUGUUGACUUUGAACCAAAGAGACAUAAAUUAAAAAUAGAAAAGCUUAUCAUUGCCUCUGUAGAGAUUUUCUUUAUUUAACUUGUCCAUCUAAGGUUAAAAUUGGUGCAGGUCCUUGAAAGUGGGGACAAAGUCUAUGUAAAAAAACAAACAAAAAAAGCUUUGAAUCAAGAGGCUCCCAUUAUAUUGGAAGCAACAGAGAUCAAUAUGACUUGUUCAUUACUUCUCACCUUAUACGUAUGUUAAAUGACGUGCAGUGUAAAUAUCACAGUAUAAUGGCGAUGAAGGAAAAUCAAGCGCAUUGCUAAAUGACUAACAUUCAAAUUAGUGGAAUUCCCUCAGAAAAAUGUAAAUUAGUUUGUCCUUUGCUUAUUUUGUCACAGAGCAGUAUCUCACUCUUCCUGUUCAGUUCAGUUUCCUGUUAUAUGCAUGUGUUUCCUCUGCCUACUUUGCUAGCUGUCCUUACAGGAGGUCCUGAGUGGGGCUGUGGAGCUAGCAGAGGUGGGGUUUCCUGUGGCUGAGUUAACAGCUCACCACUGGGCGAACUGGAAGUCUGCUUUGAGGGAUGCUGGAAAGGGUGGAGAAUUGAUGAUUGACGGUCAUGCGCCCAAAUGUGGACAAGUAUUCUAAAACGCUGGCCUGGCUUGAACUUUGAAGACACACGCAGACACACGCACACACCUACACUCAUGACCAUGAGGCAGUGGAAAGAACAGCGAUGACCUCAGCCUCAUUGGACGAUUAUAUUCUUCGAUUGUUCUUCGACAGUUGUGCAUGACUUCACUGUGGGGCAAAGUCACAAGCACACACACACACACACACACACACACACACACACACAUUGACUGGAGUGAACUUUUAAAUGGUGGACAAAUGUGCCUCGAUAUCAUGUUAACCACCAUUUGUAAAAAGUUUUGUCGCGUGACUGACUGAGAAGUACAUGAGCUCAUGUAUCCACAGGAGCUCGGUGAGCGGGGCAAGCCAGCUUUCUACCAGGGCAGAGUGGCCCAGGCCAUUGUUGACGUCAUCAACCAAAAUGGGGGAGUCAUGACCUUGGAUGACCUGAGCAGCCAUGACAGCGAGGUCGUCACCCCCAUAAGCACAGAGUACAAGGGUGUAUGUCUGUGGGAGCUUCCUCCUAACAGUCAGGGACUGGCUGCCCUGCUCACGCUCGACAUCAUGGAGAACUUUCCUCAACUCAAAGCUAAAGGCCAUAACAGCUCUGACUAUAUCCAUGUACUGGUUGAGGCUGUGCGAUUGGCUCUAACAGAUGCUCUGCGUUACCUGGGUGACUCAAGUCAUGUGACUAUCCCUUUGGAAACCUUACUGGACAAGGGCUACAGUCACCAGCGAGCACAGCUCAUCAGCACGGACAGGGCCAUGGAGCGAGUGGAGCCCGGCCUGAUGACAGGAAGUGACACGGUGUAUUUCUGCGUGAUAGACAGUGAGAGGAAUGCAUGCUCCUUUGUCAACAGCAACCAUAUGGGCUUUGGGACGGGGCUGGUCCCUAAAGACUGUGGAUUCUCACUACAGCUGGUCAGUGGUUGGUUAACCUGGAGGAGGGGAUCGACCAGAAGGUAGCUGAGGAACUGAAAAGACGAGGACACCGUGUCAACUGGCCAGUGUCAGAAUCAACUUUUUGGGAUCAUUUUCUUGCUCAUUAAUGAAAACGAUUGAAGAAAAACCGGACAAACACCUUUGUACGUAGUGCAAGAUGUCAGCAAAACAGUUACUUUCGAAGGCCUUUGCUCUCAGUCGUAAUUCAAGGCCACAAGAGGUCUCAGUUUGGGCGGGGGCAGAUCAUCGCAGUGGGGGAUUGGUGGAAUCCGUCUGUCACCCAAGGGGAUCGUCCUUCCAGGGUGCUUUGGGCGGGAUCGGAUCCCAGAGCAGACGGAUGUGCUCAGGGGUACUAGAAAAUGUUCUUGCCUUGUUAAUGUUGUAAUCAAAAGAUUUCAUCAUAGAACUACUUGAAAAGAAAUGCCUACAAAUGAUGUGCAGUACACAGGUUGUUAUUUGUCAGCUGAUAUUUGGCAGUGAGCUUUAUAACUCAUUCAAAAACCACUGUACCUUCAUGAAGUGCCUUAUGGAAUCAUGUUUUUAUGCCUGUGUUCAUUAGAUGUUGAGUUAAAGCACAUUUGCUGGAUGUAGAGUUUAGUAUAAAUCAGCACAACCUCAGAUUAUUUAUAAUGUGAAAAGUGACAAACAGGAAGAUCUUUAUCUUUGCUGCAUCCAUGCCAAAGAUGUCCUUCCUCAACUCUGUGUUUUGGCAGAGAUAAUUAUGUGUUUCAGUCUCUUUAAUUAGCUGGUGCUGAUUUGAAGUUUGCUAGAAAUGCAGUGUUGUUCCAUAUAUAAACCUCCGUCCUCAAUAACUAAUCAUUCCAUUUUUACUCUGCUCUGAAUUAUGUACAUCAGUAUUAUAGUGUCAUCAUUAAAAAUUCUAUUUUGCAUAA